AACGAACGCUGGCGGCAGGCCUAACACAUGCAAGUCGAACGCACCGCAAGGUGAGUGGCGCACGGGUGAGUAACACGUGGGAAUGUAACCUUUGGUUUGGAAUAACGUCUGGAAACGGACGCUAAUACCGGAUGAGCCCUUAGGGGGAAAGAUUUAUCGCCGAAGGAGCAGCCCGCGUCUGAUUAGGUAGUUGGUGGGGUAAAGGCCUACCAAGCCGACGAUCAGUAGCUGGUCUGAGAGGAUGAUCAGCCACACUGGGACUGAGACACGGCCCAGACUCCUACGGGAGGCAGCAGUGGGGAAUAUUGGACAAUGGGCGCAAGCCUGAUCCAGCCAUGCCGCGUGAGUGAUGAAGGCCUUCGGGUUGUAAAGCUCUUUCGCACACGACGAUGAUGACGGUAGUGUGAGAAGAAGCCCCGGCUAACUUCGUGCCAGCAGCCGCCGUAA
Molecule: ribosomal RNA, 447 nt
Filed under: uncultured bacterium
Lineage: Bacteria
Description: partial 16S ribosomal RNA
Rfam family: Bacterial small subunit ribosomal RNA
Source: RNAcentral